CUUGCAAACCGAGAAUGUGUAUUGAACACCAAGAACUGCUAAUUCUUACUACUGAAGUUAAAAUCCUCA
Molecule: transfer RNA, 69 nt
Filed under: Oplurus cuvieri
Lineage: Eukaryota; Metazoa; Chordata; Lepidosauria; Squamata
Description: tRNA-Ser
Source: RNAcentral